Molecule: long non-coding RNA, 1176 nt
Filed under: Marmota monax (woodchuck)
Lineage: Eukaryota; Metazoa; Chordata; Mammalia; Rodentia; Sciuridae
Source: RNAcentral
GAAGGUAGUGCCCACUACCUGGUCCAUAAAGCUCAAAGCAAAAAUACCCCUGGGUUUUAUUGGCCUGCAGGGAGCCAGCCCUGUGACCUUGGUCAACUCACUUAACCUUACAAAGUCUCAGUUUUAUCAUUUUUAAAGACUUUCUUUUAAGGAUAGUUUUAGUUAGUUUUAUAGAAAAAUUGAAAGGAAGGUACAAAGAUACCCCCAUAUACUCCUUACCCCUACACAGGUAUAAUAAGCUCCCCCUUUCUCAGCAUCCCCUGCUGGAGUGUACAUUUGUUACAAUGAAUCUACACACAUCAUUAUCAAGCAAACGAUGGAGACAGUAAAGAUCAGUGAGUACCAGGUAUUGAGGGCAGGUGGGAUGAACAGACAGCACAGAGGAUUUUUAGGGCAGUGAAAGAUCAUUCUAUGCUAUUAUAGUGGAGGAUACAUGUCAUUAAACAUUUGUCCAAACCGAUAAAAGGUACAACACCAAGAGUGAACCCUAAUGUAAAUGAUGAACUCUGGGUGAUAAUUUUGUCAUUUUUAAAAUGAAGAAAUUUCACUACAUGGUCUCUGAGGUCAUUUCAUGCUGCAGGUCUUUAAAUUAUGUAGAAAUCCAUAAGAGCAACUAUCAGCACCAAUAAAUCACUGGCAAUUCCCUCUGGCAAAAUGCUUAGCUAGCCCUCUUAUAAGACCUAACAUCUCAAAGAGGGGAAAAUAUUCUGUACCAAAAUAGGAUGAUGGCCUUGUGCUCACACCUUCUCUUGCCUUGCAGCCUGGAGGAUGUGUGUGGUCAGACUGGAGACAGGUGAGACAGGGUCACAUGGCAUGCAGAUGUCUCGCAAAGUUGUUGCAAGAGUCAGUGGUCACCAGCCUCUACUCAGGACUGAACUGCCACAGAGCCCAAUCUUCAUCCUAAUCACUAAACUUGCCUGGAGAGAUUACCUAACUUGAGCACAGAGGUGGCAGUCCGUUUUCUCUUGGUGCUUAGAAAGAUCAAGUCCCAAGUUACCUAAGAGUCUGACUUGCAGGAGGAAAUGCAGGCCAACUGUUUUUACUUUUAUUCUUUGUGGUCUCUGAAGUAACAGCUGUUCCUCUUUAAGAACCAUUGGGAUUGUCUCAUUGAUCUAUCUCAAAUCAUGAUGCUAUUAAGGGAAAGCAUUGUUAUUUCAUUGGCAUUAGAAGAUUGUG